GGGGAUUUAGCUCAGUGGUAGAGUGCUUGCUUAGCAAGCGCGAGGCCCUGGGUUCGGUCCCCAGCUCCG
This 69-nucleotide transfer RNA is filed under the name Rattus norvegicus (Norway rat). It matches the Rfam family "tRNA". From Rfam's summary of the family: Transfer RNA (tRNA) molecules are approximately 80 nucleotides in length. The record is from Rfam by way of RNAcentral. Lineage: Eukaryota; Metazoa; Chordata; Mammalia; Rodentia; Muridae.